GGGAGAAAGCUGUCGUGCAGGUGUGGUAUUUGCUGCUGUUGUAAGCUUGUGUUUUUGUGUCUAGACAUAGCAGGCUAAAGUUUAUUUGUCAUUUAUCUUGUGGUUGGGUUCAUUGGAUUACAGUGCUUGCUUUCGUAACUCUUUUUUCUAGUGUUUCUGUCCGGUUAUCAUGAAAGCCCCAGAAGCAUAGGAGAAGCUGCUUCCUCCCCUUCUCUCUCUCUCUCUCUC
RNAcentral lists this unclassified non-coding RNA (228 nucleotides) under Hevea brasiliensis (rubber tree). The record is from RNAcentral. Lineage: Eukaryota; Viridiplantae; Streptophyta; Magnoliopsida; Malpighiales; Euphorbiaceae.